RNAcentral lists this ribosomal RNA (105 nucleotides) under Streptomyces sp. AmelKG-D3. RNAcentral's name for it is "23S rRNA. Bacterial LSU". It matches the Rfam family "Bacterial large subunit ribosomal RNA", at positions 2819 to 2925 of the family's 2925-position model. Lineage: Bacteria; Bacillati; Actinomycetota; Actinomycetes; Kitasatosporales; Streptomycetaceae. The record is from RNAcentral.
UUUGAGGGGUUAAGGCUCCCAGUAGACGACUGGGUUGAUAGGCCAGAUGUGGAAGCCCUGUGAGGGGUGGAGCUGACUGGUACUAAUAGGCCGAGGGCUUGUCCU